This 687-nucleotide ribosomal RNA is filed under the name Triticum aestivum (bread wheat). Its description in RNAcentral is "partial small subunit ribosomal RNA". Lineage: Eukaryota; Viridiplantae; Streptophyta; Magnoliopsida; Poales; Poaceae. The record is from RNAcentral.
AUGCACGACACGGAAGGCCUGCCAUUCAUGAAGCAUGGUUGUGUCUUCAGUGCGCACCGCCGGAUGAAUGACAUGCUGGGACACGCUAUCCCUGAUUUAUGCCGCUUCAGCUUGGAUGAGUCUCCAUCGACGGUAUAUCCUGGUAGUAGUACUAGUAGAAUUGAGAUUGAAUGCACUUUCUUCCCUGUCUUCCACUCUUCUUCCUCCUCUCUUCUUCUUCCUCCUCUCUUCCCCAUCGUCGGCCGCACACCAUUUACCCCCGAUCACUGCUCGCUCGCCCGCGCCAUCUUCCUUGUACCAUAUAACUGGAAUUACCGAUGCAAGUCGAAGAAGGAUUGGCCGGUGCUGCCGGCUGGCGUCAAGUUCGAUCCCACGGAUCAGGAGCUGAUCGAGCACCUUGAGGCCAAACGCAAUUCUAGGGCGUUCAAAAGGGGCACGUGGACGCGUCGCAAGAUACAGUCGGAGUGCGGCAUGCACGCGAUGUGGCACAAGACCGACAAUACCUUGCCGGUGAUGGUCAACGGCCGGCAGACGGGCAGCAAAAAAGGUUCUGGUGCUGCACACCAACAAGAACUUCGACCAGCAGAGGACCAACUGGGUGAUGCACCAGUACCACCUCGGGGACCUGGAGCAAGAGAAGGAGCGGGAGCUGGUCCUCUGCAAGAUGUUCUACCAGACGAACACUAG